Molecule: ribosomal RNA, 490 nt
Filed under: uncultured bacterium
Lineage: Bacteria
Description: partial 16S ribosomal RNA
Rfam family: Bacterial small subunit ribosomal RNA
Source: RNAcentral
AAUGAACGCUGGCGGCAUGCCUUACACAUGCAAGUCGAACGGCAGCAUGACCUAGCUUGCUAGGUUGAUGGCGAGUGGCGAACGGGUGAGUAAUGCAUCGGAACGUGCCUUUUAGUGGGGGAUAACGUAGCGAGAGUUACGCUAAUACCGCAUAUUCUCUGAGGAGGAAAGCAGGGGACCUUCGGGCCUUGCGCUAGAAGAGCGGCCGAUGUCGGAUUAGCUAGUUGGUGAUGUAAAGGCUCACCAAGGCAACGAUCCGUAGCGGGUCUGAGAGGAUGAUACGCCACACUGGGACUGAGACACGGCCCAGACUCCUACGGGAGGCAGCAGUGGGGAAUUUUGGACAAUGGGCGCAAGCCUGAUCCAGCCAUGCCGCGUGAGUGAAGAAGGCCUUCGGGUUGUAAAGCUCUUUCGGCUGGGAAGAAAUCGCACCCUCUAAUACAGGGUGUGGAUGACGGUACCAGCAUAAGAAGCACCGGCUAACUACGUG